UGGUUUGAUUCUGGCUCAGGAUGAACGCUGGCGGCAUGCCUAAUACAUGCAAGUCGAACGGAGUGAAGCCUUCGGGUUUCAUUCAGUGGCGAACGGGUGAGUAAUACGCAGGGAACCUGGCCAUGGCAGGGGGAUACACUCUGGAAACGGAGCAUAAGACCCCAUAGGCAGUAAGGCGGCAUCGCCUUACUGUUAAAGAAAGCUGAAAGGCUUUGGCGAUGGAUGGACCUGCGGUGCAUUAGCUUGUUGGUGAGGCAACGGCUUACCAAGGCGAUGAUGCAUAGCCGGCCUGAGAGGGCGGACGGCCACACUGGGACUGAGACACGGCCCAGACUCCUGCGGGAGGCAGCAGUAGGGAAUUUUCGUCAAUGGGCGCAAGCCUGAACGAGCAAUGCCGCGUGAGUGAGGAAGGUCUUCGGACUGUAAAGCUCUGUUGCCGGGGAAAAAGGGGAAAUGCAGGAAAUGGCAUUUCAUGGAUGGUACCCGGCCAGAAAGCCACGGCUAACUACGUGCCAGCAGCCGCGGUAAUACGUAGGUGGCGAGCGUUAUCCGGAAUGAUUGGGCGUAAAGGGUGCGCAGGCGGUCUGUUAAGUCUGAAGGCAAAGGGAUGAGCUCAACUCAUUUAUGAUUCAGAAACUGGCAGACUUGAGGACAGGAGAGGGCGGUGGAACUCCAUGUGUAGCGGUAAAAUGCGCAGAGAUAUGGAAGAACACCAGUGGCGAAGGCGGCCGCCUGGCCUGUGACUGACGCUGAGGCACGAAAGCGUGGGGAGCAAAUAGGAUUAGAUACCCUAGUAGUCCACGCCGUAAACGAUGAGGAGCAGGUGUUGGGAGUGAAAUCUCAGUGCCGAAGCCAACGCAGUGACUCCUCCGCCUGGGGAGUAUGCACGCAAGUGUGAAACUCAAAGGAAUUGACGGGGGCCCGCACAAGCGGUGGAGUAUGUGGUUUAAUUCGAAGCAACGCGAAGAACCUUACCAGGUUUUGACAUCGGAUGCGAAGGCGCAGAGAUGCGCUGGAGGCUAUCAUCCAGACAGGUGGUGCAUGGUUGUCGUCAGCUCGUGUCGUGAGAUGUUCAGUUAAGUCUGGCAACGAGCGCAACCCCCGUGGUAUGUUACUAACGCAUUUGGGCGAGGACUCAUAUCAGACUGCCGGUGACAAACCGGAGGAAGGCGGGGAUGACGUCAAAUCAUCAUGCCCCUUAUGACCUGGGCUACACACGUACUACAAUGGCGUCUACAGAGGGAAGCGACCCUGAGAAGGGAAGCGAAACCGGAAAAGGGCGUCCCAGUUCGGAUUGAAGUCUGCAACCCGACUUCAUGAAGAUGGAAUCGCUAGUAAUCGCGGAUCAGCAUGCCGCGGUGAAUACGUUCCCGGGCCUUGUACACACCGCCCGUCAAACCAUGGAAGCCGGCAACGCCCGAAGCCGGUGGCAUAACCUUUUAGGAGUGAGCCGUCGAAGGCGGGGCCGAUGACUGGGGUUAAGUCGUAAAAAGGUAGCC
This 1499-nucleotide ribosomal RNA is filed under the name uncultured bacterium. RNAcentral describes it as "bacterial SSU rRNA". It matches the Rfam family "Bacterial small subunit ribosomal RNA". The record is from RNAcentral.